CUCCUGUGCUUGUUGAGGGCAGAUAAAAUGGAUGUGCGUGUCGAAGCCUCCUGCAGUCACGAUCUUGUUUUCUCCCGCAAUGACAUCCGUUGACGAGCCGAUGAUCAUGUCCGGAUGGACGCCAUCCAUAACGUCUGGGUUUCCUGACUUGCCAAUCCCGACAAUGGUGCCGUUUUUUAUACCAAUGUCUGCCUUGUAGAUACCGGACCAGUCUAUGAUGACAGCGUUUGUGAUGACCGUAUCCAGACAGUCCUUGUGGGACUUCCCUGAUGCCUGGCCCAUGCCUUCGCGGAU
Aspergillus nidulans FGSC A4 is the source of this 294-nucleotide small RNA. It matches the Rfam family "5' ureB small RNA". Lineage: Eukaryota; Fungi; Ascomycota; Eurotiomycetes; Eurotiales; Aspergillaceae. The record is from Rfam.